This 2700-nucleotide long non-coding RNA is filed under the name Gossypium barbadense (sea-island cotton). RNAcentral describes it as "long non-coding RNA (GBAR_LNC015436)". The record is from RNAcentral. Lineage: Eukaryota; Viridiplantae; Streptophyta; Magnoliopsida; Malvales; Malvaceae.
AUUAUGUUAACAUCUCUUUCGAGAGUAAGAACAACUGACUCUAGGUUGAUUAAUUGAAAUCUCUUUCUAAUUAAAAUCUCUAUCAUCGUAUUAACUCGAUCUAUGGACUCCCUUAUUAGAUUUGACUUUAAUCCGAUAGAUUUAUGUCGUCCUAUUUCUAGAAUUGCAUGCAACUCCAAUCAAUUAUGCUAGAUCUACUCUUAAACAGAGACUUUUGCUCCACUGAAUUAAGCAUAUUAAACAUGAAUUAAUAUCCUAAAAUAUUAAAACAAGAAUAAUAAAAGGAUUCAUCAUAGGUUUCAUCCUCCCUAGGUAUCUAGGGAAUUAGUUCAUACCCUUGAAUGAAAACAUCUCAAAGUCAGAAAAAGCACAAGACAUAAAGAAACUCAAUAAAACUUCGAAAGAAGUUAAAAGGAGAUUUUUAAUCUUGAUGGAGAUCCGGUUCCGAGUUGGUUUUGAUGGUGUUCUUUGAGUGCUUUUUUCGAUCUUCUCUGAUGGCUCUCUAUGUCUUCUUCUAAUUGGCAUUUAUAGACUUUAGAAUGCUCAGAAAGCCAAAAAUUGGGCUUCUCCACGUAUUUGGGAAGCAGGGUGCGAAAUCGACAAGGGCUAGCACAUGGGCAUGUGUCCAGCUUGUGUGGAAAUGCCCAGGCCGUGUGGCUCUUGAAAACGGCUUUAUUUUUCCAAUUUUGGCUCGGUUUUUGUUCCUUUCACUCCCAAAUGCUCUCCUAAGUAUAAAAAUAUGAAUUUAAAGGAUUAGAAGCAUCAAAUCCACUAAUUUGCAUAAUUAAUCAUCCAAAAACGCAUUAAGAAUGAAAUUAAAAUAUGUUACUUUUAUAUCUUAUCAAAAAUGUUAUCAAUUUGUAUCGAUACUUAUCAAAGUAUCGAUACCAAUUUGGCAUUCUGUUUAUUUUGAAAAAAAUUUAUUUGAGCAAGUAUCAUUACCUAAUGUCAUAGUAUCGAUACUUUUCGCUAAACUUAGUAAAAAUCACUUUUUAAAAACUUUUAUUCCAUGCUCAAACAUAAUGUCGAAUGACCAAUAGUCCGUUCAGUUUUAAAAACACAUUUUUAUGGAAAACAUUAGUUUGUUUUAGUAAUUCAUUUAUUCAAUCUCAAUUCCAAAUUUGUUAUAAAAAAUUAUAAGUAAUGGAGUCCAUACCACAUUCCAUUUAACAAAUCCAAAAUCCAAAUAGAGUUUAUGAAAUAGUUUAGAAAUAAGUUUUAAGUAAAAUCCGACGACAGUGCUCCGAGUGUCGAGUCCGAGCCCUAACCUCAUAAAUUAUCUGAAAAGAUGGGAAAAUUAAUGAGUGAGCUAUGAAGCUCAGUAUGGUCAUAACACAUAAGCAGUGAGUAUAUAAAGUAGUAAAUAACAUAAUACAAGGUUGCAAUAUGCAAUACAUAUUAGUAUCACGAUAUUCACAGAAAAACGAUAACUACUAGCAUGCUUAUAAAUAUUAGUGUAGUACACUACCCAAUCCAGCCCUACACACCACAGUAAGAGUUCCUCAGAACUCGUCCAACCCUACAAUCCAAAACAGUAUUUUGAGGAUGAGUUGCUAGUAAAUCAGUAGGAGCCUUAGCUUAUGUGGAUGAACCACCAAUAGAUGAUCGAUGAACCGAUUCGACAUGUAAUGCUUGAACUUCCUCCUUCAACAACCCAAACCCCAAUGCAUUAGUAUGACAUGCUAUCGAUGUCAGAAAGCAGUAACAGUUUUAACAUGCUAUUAUCAUGCAAACAGUAACAGUUUGUUGGUUAAGUAGUAACAGUAAUCAUGCAUCAGUUAUAUAUGCGGGAUUAACACUGAAUCAACAUUAUACACAUAUUCAACAUUAACGAUUCAAAAAAAUGGAAGCAUACUACAACUAGAUCUACCAUACACAGUCUCGUUUACCACUGAGUCGAUUCGUUGGUUUCUCAAUACCACAUCAAAGAAUAUUUUUCAACCAGAUCUAAAGUUACCUAUUACAAUCGAAACCAUUAGAAUGAAAUAACUAACAUUAACUAAUAAAAUCAGCAAGAAAAACACAAAAAUAGGCACUCAUACAUAACACACACAAAAGCACAUGGUUAGACACACACCUUCACCCACACGCUUGUGCGACACUUCACUCCUCCGGUGGACUCAUACGAUUCAGAUAUGCUCUGAACCCGUCAUCAUUCGGUCCUUCAAAUGGUAUACACACAAAUAACAACACAUUAGCAAUCGACAUAAAUUAGAUUCAGGAAUCGAAGAAACCUGAUUAAUCAAUAUGGAAGUGAAAUAAAUCAUACACACGAUUUAUUUAUUCGAAAACCAAAUCUUACCCAUGGAUCGGAAUGUUUACACUUACUAAUCUACCGUUAGGGUCAUAAUCGUGCAAAAUAGAAUAGAGAGGCAAAUAUACAAAGCUAUUAGUGCAAAUGAACCGAACGAUUGAUAAUGAUUCGGGGGAAAAAAAGAAUCGGCAACCCAAGAGGGGUGCAAGAAACGGAAACUAAGAAGAAAAGCAAGGAAGAAUAAGAACAAGAGAAAAGAGAAAAGAAGGGUGAAGUGAGGAGAAAAUGGCCAAGGGAAAAAGUGAAGAGAGGAAAACAAGUUUAAGGGUGGCAGCAAAAACAAAAGAAUGAGAAGAGGGGGCCGACCAAAUAAAAUUACACUUAAAUACCUAGGGUUUUGGCACACUAGGGUUUUCUACACUACAAAAUGCGAAGGUAUCUAUACU